CAUGCGACGACGCACGUUUUAGUUCAUUUCGACGAAAGCGUCGUUAUUAAGGUUUGCGAGAUAGGCUCCACGUAAUAAUUAUUCCAGACGCCUAUAAUUCACGACGCAGUUAAUCGUAGUUCAAUCAGAACACGUCUGGUCCCGCUUCGACGGUUCAACGGUUAUAUUGGCGCCGGUACAAGGCAGGCUUUUAGGGCUAUCGCGACGAAGGUUUGGAGACUUCAAGGAUGGCUUCAGCGUCGACAGUACUCGUACUUUGUGUCGCCGUCUUUACUGCUUUCUCACUUGCCAUGGUAUGUGAGCAUGUGGACAAGACAAGUCUCUGUGCAGACUUCUGCUCCAACAAGCGCUAUUUCGUCCUCCCGAAGUGCGUCGGGAGCAUCUGCAUGUGCUUCCCCAACAAGACCGGAGCGACGGAUUUCGAACCGCCGCCUAAGCCGGAAUUCGUUUCAACACCUCAUCCGUGAAACUUCCAAUACAUAUCGCACGUCUUCUGUUUGAUUUAUCACGACAGAGAUGUUGAGUAAACAGUCUAAACGCUGCA
This is a long non-coding RNA of Ornithodoros turicata, 544 nucleotides long. RefSeq lists it as uncharacterized. Lineage: Eukaryota; Metazoa; Arthropoda; Arachnida; Ixodida; Argasidae. The transcript is spliced from 3 exons. The record is from RefSeq and is a predicted model, not a curated record.